Long non-coding RNA from Anguilla anguilla (European eel), 1136 nucleotides. RefSeq lists it as uncharacterized. The record is from RefSeq and is a predicted model, not a curated record. The transcript is spliced from 4 exons. Lineage: Eukaryota; Metazoa; Chordata; Actinopteri; Anguilliformes; Anguillidae.
AUGUGCGGUCCUCAUAUUCAUCCGUCGUAGAGGUUAUUCAAGCUGUCUACCUCGUUCUCGCAUUCUAGUGCAAGCUUGGUUAACCUCUGCGUAAGAUGAAUGUGCGGACAAAAUCUAAAAACAUGAUCUAAACCGCGCUCGUUUUACUUAGCCGACAGCAUAACAGCGUCCCUAGAAGGAGAACAAGACAAGGAGAACCACGCCUUAGCUAUCAAAUUCACGGAACCACACGAAGAAAAUACUUUUCAAUGACAUAUAUACUACAGGCAAUCAAAACAACACAAGAGGACCGCGAUCGCACAUUUUUAUUUGUCUUUCCGUGGGAACUCGAAUGUUUCCAGGAGAAACAGAUUUUUACAUUUUUUUCUUUUAAACUUCAGUUACGGGAGUUCCCUCGCAUAGGCAUAUCUGUGUGGUCAGACGUGCAGACGCCCACAGGGAGGGGAAAGCAAAGCACAAUGCCCCCAUUCAUAAACAAAACACCCACACAGAUCCUCACAAGUUCCCAGGGCAUUUGAGUGCAAAUCUGGAAGAAAUGAUGCUUCUAUCCACUGACAUUGAGCACAUUCUGUUCCAGGCCAAGGCUCAUUUCCAGUUUUGAUAGGAAGUUGAAAAAAGCCACAUGGUUUGGCCAACUUCCAAAACCUUGACUGUGUUUUGAAGAAAAUCAGAUUCCAAGUCCAACAGAGCAAGUUGGGGUCAAACUGGACACAGGAUUGAGGACACAGACCUACUUUUUGUCGAUGCAACAGUUUGGCCACAGCUAGCCAUUUUGUACGAACUUAUCCAUAAUUAUUUUACUAAUUAAUUACUUAACUGCAGUGUCCAACGAAUCAAACAAAAUAAAGUCAAAUCAGACAAGUGCCCGAGGACAAGUCUGAAAGAAACUAGUUUCAAUCCAAUAUGGUGGAAGUCCAGUCGGGCCAACAUCAGGCAAGUAUCGCAGAAUCCAAAUUCAGCACUCCAGCUCAGUGUCAUGACAAGUGUGCAAGGCUGCAGGGCUCUGAAGCUACACAAUGUGCUAAUGAGACCGGACUUCAGACCUCACUCUCAGCCAUGGAUAUCACCACUUAGAAAUUUAACGUAAACAAUUAAUUAAUCAGUGUCUGCAAGUAAAUAUGCGUUUAGGUUAUAUG